Molecule: long non-coding RNA, 464 nt
Filed under: Brassica rapa (field mustard)
Lineage: Eukaryota; Viridiplantae; Streptophyta; Magnoliopsida; Brassicales; Brassicaceae
Description: long non-coding RNA (BRAP_LNC000694)
Source: RNAcentral
UCUGAAGUUGAUAUUGUUUUUCAUCUUAUGUAGAUCAACAUUGGUUAGAUCUUUUGAAACCAUCCCUGAAAGUACAAAACUAGAGUCAGAGAUUUGUGUCAUUAACACAAAGGUGAGAAAAUAAAUAUCAAAUGUCUGCUUUAUGUGGUAAAUAUUUAUUUGUUUACCUUUUUUUUUCCAGAGAGAUGAAGUAACAACUAUGGAGGGAGAAGUCAUUAGUGGGAUUCCUCAAGGUUAUGUGAGGUGGGUGAUGGAUGAAGAAGAGGGACAUUUCUGGUGAGACGAGAGCUACAUUGUUUUUACCAAACAAAAGAAAAUAAGAAGAUACAUGUUAGUGCUGGUGAAUAAAGAAAAGUAUCAGAGAAGGGAUAUACUAACCGCUGCUAAUUCAUUAAUCAGAUUUGGAAGAAAAAUGGUGAAAAGGUGUGAAAGAAAUGAAAGAAAAGAGAGAGUAGACAAACUUG